Meleagris gallopavo (turkey) is the source of this 413-nucleotide non-coding RNA. The record is from RefSeq and is a predicted model, not a curated record. Lineage: Eukaryota; Metazoa; Chordata; Aves; Galliformes; Phasianidae.
AAAGCCUCAAAAGAUUUAAUUUAUAUCCUGUCUGUGAAGGACAGCGGUGCCUGACUCGUGGUGUUCACAGCUGGUGGUUGAUGCUGAGCCAUCUGCAGCCUGAACUCGACGUGGCUUUUCCAUUGACAGCCAGCUCAGAGCCUGGCUCUUUCUCUCUGUGUAACUUCUCUCCAUCCUGAAUAGCAAAUGGGGGGGCAGGUCCCCUGGUGACACUUGUCCUUUCCUCUUUGCAGGGAGUUGGAGAUGAUGACAACAGCAGCAGCAGCAGCAGCACUGAGGAGCCUCAGGACCAGGGCCACGCUGAGGAUGAUGAGAAGGAAGCCCAGGAGUAGACUUGCUGGGCAUGCCGAAGAGGUGGGGAUGCUGGAGGGGGCUGGCCAUUGGUAGCCAAAUAAAAGCAUUUGGACCCUAAA